AUUGAACGCUGGCGGAAUGCUUUACACAUGCAAGUCGAGCGGCAGCACGGGGGCAACCCUGGUGGCGAGCGGCGAACGGGUGAGUAAUACAUCGGAACAUGCCCAGUCGUGGGGGAUAACACUUCGAAAGAAGUGCUAAUACCGCAUACGUCCUGAGGGAGAAAGCGGGGGAUCGCAAGACCUCGCGCGAUUGGAGUGGCCGAUGUCAGAUUAGCUAGUUGGUGGGGUAAAGGCCUACCAAGGCAACGAUCUGUAGCUGGUCUGAGAGGAUGAUCAGCCACACUGGGACUGAGACACGGCCCAGACUCCUACGGGAGGCAGCAGUGGGGAAUUUUGGACAAUGGGGGCAACCCUGGUCCAGCCAUUCCGCGUGAGUGAAGAAGGCCUUCGGGUUGUAAAGCUCUUUCGGCAGGAACGAAACGGCGAGCUCUAACAUAGCUUGCUAAUGACGGUACCUGAAGAAGAAGCACCGGCUAACUACGUG
Molecule: ribosomal RNA, 484 nt
Filed under: uncultured bacterium
Lineage: Bacteria
Description: partial 16S ribosomal RNA
Rfam family: Bacterial small subunit ribosomal RNA
Source: RNAcentral